RNAcentral lists this ribosomal RNA (1068 nucleotides) under uncultured dinoflagellate. Its description in RNAcentral is "SSU rRNA". It matches the Rfam family "Eukaryotic small subunit ribosomal RNA", at positions 577 to 1674 of the family's 1831-position model. The record is from RNAcentral. Lineage: Eukaryota; Dinophyceae.
CGGUAACUUCAGCUCCAAUAGCGUAUAUUAAAAUUGUUGCGGUUAAAACGCUCGUAGUUGGAUAUCUGCCAAGGAGUUUCGGUCCUCCCCAGUGGAGAAUACGCGGAACAUUUCUUGGCACUUGUUCAGGGAAGGUGUUUGCACUUUGUUGUGCGUCACGUGAUCUGAAUUUUUACUUUGAGGAAAUGAGAGUGUUUCAAGCAGGCUUUUGCCAUGAAUAUGAUAGCAUGGAAUAAUAGCACAGGACCCCUUCCCAAAGCUGUUGGUCUUUGGAACGAGGUAAUCAUAAUAAGGACAGUUGGGGGUAUUCGUAUUUAACUGUCAGAGGUGAAAUUCUUGGAUUUUUUUAAAGACGAACUAUUGCGAAGGCAUCUGCCCAGGAUGUUUUUGUUGAUCAAGAACGAAAGUUAGGGGAUCGAAGACGAUCAGAUACCGUCCUAGUCUUAACCUUAAACUAUGCCGACUGGAGAUUGGAGUCGUCAGUCCUUGACGUCUUCAGCAUCCUGAGAGAAAUCUAAGUCUUUGGGUUCCGGGGGGAGUAUGGUCGCAAGGCUGAAACUUAAAGGAAUUGACGGAAGGGCACCACCAGGAGUGGAGCCUGCGGCUUAAUUUGACUCAACACGGGGAAACUUACCAGGUCCAGACAUAGAUAGGAUUGACAGACUGAUAGCUCUUUCUUAAUUCUAUGGGUGGUGGUGCAUGGCCGUUCUUAGUUGGUGGAGUGAUUUGUCUGGUUAAUUCCGUUAACGAACGAGACCUUAACCUGCUAAAUAGUUUCCAAAACUUCGGUUUUCGGCUUACUUCUUAGAGGGACUUCGUGUGUUUAACAUGAGGAAGUUUGAGGCAAUAACAGGUCUGUGAUGCCCUUAGAUGUCCUGGGCUGCACGCGCGCUACACUGAUGUGUCCAGUAAGCACCUAACCUCAUCCGAAGGGAUCGGGUAACCUUUGCAACGCACAUCGUGAUGGGGAUAGAUUAUUGCAAUUAUUAGUCUUGAACGAGGAAUUCCUAGUAAGCACAAGUCAUCAGCUUGUGUUGAUUACGUCCCUGCCCCUUGUACACACCGCCC